RNAcentral lists this ribosomal RNA (431 nucleotides) under uncultured bacterium. RNAcentral describes it as "partial 16S ribosomal RNA". It matches the Rfam family "Bacterial small subunit ribosomal RNA", at positions 29 to 507 of the family's 1533-position model. The record is from RNAcentral.
AACGAACGCUGGCGGCAGGCCUAACACAUGCAAGUCGAGCGCCCUUUCGGGGGAGCGGCGGACGGGUGAGUAACGCGUGGGAAUAUGCCCUUCUCUACGGAAUAGCCUCGGGAAACUGAGAGUAAUACCGUAUACGCCCUGUGGGGGAAAGAUUUAUCGGGGAAGGAUUAGCCCGCGUUGGAUUAGGUAGUUGGUGGGGUAAUGGCCUACCAAGCCGACGAUCCAUAGCUGGUUUGAGAGGAUGAUCAGCCACACUGGGACUGAGACACGGCCCAGACUCCUACGGGAGGCAGCAGUGGGGAAUCUUAGACAAUGGGGGCAACCCUGAUCUAGCCAUGCCGCGUGAGUGAUGAAGGCCUUAGGGUUGUAAAGCUCUUUCAACUGGGAAGAUAAUGACGGUACCAGCAGAAGAAGCCCCGGCUAACUCCGUG